GAGGGGCCCGCGGCCUAUCAGCUUGUCGGUGGGGUAACGGCCUACCGAGGCAACGACGGGUAGCCGGUCUGAGAGGACGGACGGCCACAGUGGGACUGAAAUAUGGUCCACAGCCCUACGGGGUUUAGCAUGGAGGAAUCUUGCGCAACGGCCUAACGGUCGGCGCAGCAACGCCGCGUGGGGGAGGAAGGCUUUCGGGUCGUAAACCCCUGUUGUGUAGGAAGAAGUACCUCCGGGGAGAGCCCGGGGGGAAGACGGUACUACACGAGGAAGCAUCGGCUAACUACGUGCCAGCAGCCGCGGUAAUACGUAGGAUGCAAGCGUUAUCCGGAUUUAUUGGGCGUAAAGCGCGCGCAGGCGGCGCUCAGCAGUGGCGCGUGGAAUCUCCCGGCUUACCUGGGAGGGGCCGCGCCAGACGGGAGUGCUUGAGGCAGGCAGAGGACCGUAGAACGGGCGGAGUAGGGGUGAAAUCCGUAGAGACCGUCCGGAAUACCAGUGGCGAAGGCGGCGGUCUGGGCCUGUCCUGACGCUCGGGCGCGAAAGCGUGGGGAGCGAACGGAAUUAGAUACUCCGGUAGUCCACGCCCUAAACGAUGGCAACUCGGUGU
Molecule: ribosomal RNA, 607 nt
Filed under: uncultured soil bacterium
Lineage: Bacteria
Description: bacterial SSU rRNA
Rfam family: Bacterial small subunit ribosomal RNA
Source: RNAcentral